This 578-nucleotide ribosomal RNA is filed under the name uncultured bacterium. RNAcentral's name for it is "bacterial SSU rRNA". It matches the Rfam family "Bacterial small subunit ribosomal RNA", at positions 338 to 916 of the family's 1533-position model. The record is from RNAcentral.
CCUACGGGAGGCAGCAGUAAGGAAUAUUGGUCAAUGGACGAAAGUCUGAACCAGCCAUGCCGCGUGGAGGAUGAAGGUCCUCUGGAUUGUAAACUUCUUUUAUAUGGGACGAAAAAAGGCUUUUCUAAGUCGUCUGACGGUACCAUAUGAAUAAGCACCGGCUAACUCCGUGCCAGCAGCCGCGGUAAUAUGGAGGGUGCAAGCGUUAUCCGGAUUUACUGGGUUUAAAGGGUGCGUAGGUGGACUGGUAAGUCCGUGGUGAAAUCCCCGAGCUUAACUUGGGAACUGCCAUGGAUACUAUUAGUCUUGAAUUUUCUGGAGGUUAGCGGAAUAUGUCAUGUAGCGGUGAAAUGCUUAGAUAUGACAUAGAACACCGAUUGCGAAGGCAGCUGGCUACAGAAACAUUGACACUGAGGCACGAAAGCGUGGGGAUCAAACAGGAUUAGAUACCCUGGUAGUCCACGCCCUAAACGAUGAUUACUCGACAUACGCGAUACACUGUGUGUGUCUGAGCGAAAGCAUUAAGUAAUCCACCUGGGAAGUACGACCGCAAGGUUGAAACUCAAAUGAAUUGACGG